RNA transcript from Aphis gossypii (cotton aphid), 3568 nucleotides. It is a transcript of the gene named cytosolic carboxypeptidase Nna1-like, with no coding region annotated. The record is from RefSeq and is a predicted model, not a curated record. NCBI's taxonomy places the organism in Eukaryota, Metazoa, Arthropoda, Insecta, Hemiptera, Aphididae. The transcript is spliced from 16 exons.
UCGUGUUGACAAUGAUGAUAAUAAUGUUUCCGAGCACACGCGCGUCUGCAGUACGAUCGAUGAGAACUGACGAUAGUAUAUUAUAUUAUUAUAAUAAUUUUAUCGUCUCAUAAAACAUUUUUUUUUUUUUUUUUUUGAAAUAUUCGAGUAACUUAGAUUAUUAUUAAGUCGUAUUUUCGUUACAUCGCAGGCAUGCUCGUCGUAUACAAACGUACUUUAUUAUAGUGCGUAAUCAAUGCGUAUUUAGAUGAGUUAAAUUUAAUAUGCCAAAAUAACAAUUUGAAAAAAAAUACAUGUUCUCUAACUUGUUUUACGUAAACAAUAAUGAUUCGACAUUUAAAUGAUCCUCGGCAGUACAUUGGGCACUUGGAUCGUUUUUAAACAAUUUAUUGAAUCGUACGUUAAGAAACAGUCAAAUUGAUAUAAACGCGGACGGCGACACAAGGCAGUUAGAUUCUAAAUUACGAGACGUUAAAGAAGUUUUUCCGUUAAUGAAAGAAGUAGAUUGUCCUUACCAAGCUGCAAGAUGGCCAAUGGAAUGUCAAGUCCUAGACGAUCCCGUUGUUCACAUUCACCCGACAUUGGCAUCUUAUUCAGAAAAAGAGCCUCUAUACAAAUUUACAGGCAAAGAAAUACAACCAAAACAAGUAGGCGAAGAUUCAGGAGAAGUAAUAUUUAAAUAUUACCCUAUCAGUAGCGUAAAUUAUUUUUGUCGUUCAGCCGUUGGUGGUAGUGCGUGUUCUCUAGCACAUAGUAGUCAAGAUCCUUCUGAUUUGAUUUUUGAAUCACGUUUUGAAUCUGGUAACCUAGCCAAAGUAGUUAAAAUAACGAGUACAUAUUAUGAGUUAUCACUAAGAUCAGAUAUGUAUACAAAUCGACACACUCAAUGGUUCUAUUUUCGAAUAGAAAAUACAAAAAAAAACAUUAAAUAUAGAUUUUCAAUUGUCAAUAUGUAUAAAUCUGAAAGUCUUUUCACUGCUGGUAUGAAACCGUUGUUAUACUCUACUAAAGACGCAAGUCAGAAAAACGUGGGCUGGAGACGUUGUGGGGAAAGCAUCGCAUAUUACAAAAACGAUGCACCAAACGGUGACAGCGAAGAUAACCCGCGUUACAUCUUUUCGUUUCUCUUAGAGUUCCCGCACGAUAUGGAUACUGUAUAUCUAGCCUACAACUAUCCAUACACAUAUACAGAUCUACAAGACUAUCUGAUAAAGCUCAAGGACGACCCAGUUAAAGCGGUGUUUACAAAGCUUAGAGUUCUGUGCCGAACAUUAGCUGGCAAUAAUGUGCAUUACUUAACUGUAACGGAGCCAUGUCAAGAAGAAGAUCCAAAACAAAAAAAAGUGAUUGUUUUAACAGCGCGUGUCCAUCCAUCCGAAACGCCAUCUUCUUGGAUGAUGAAAGGAUUUAUUGAUUUUUUAACUGGUGAUUCAUUACAAGCAAAGGAAUUACGGAAUCGUUUUAUUUUCAAAUUGAUACCAAUGUUGAAUCCCGAUGGCGUAGUUGUUGGUAAUAGUAGAUGUUCUUUAAAUGGACGAGACUUAAAUCGACAAUAUCGUAGCGUUAUUCGUGAUGCCCAUCCGGUUAUUUGGCAUACAAAGCUUAUGCUUCGAAGAUUAAUUGAAGAACGUCAAGUAGUGAUGUUUUGCGAUUUACAUGCACAUUCGAGGAAGUCAAACAUUUUCAUGUAUGGUUGUGAAGGGAAAGGCCACGAAGGGAGAAAACUGCAAGAGCAAAUAUUCCCUCUUUUAUUACACAAAAACGCUCCAGAAAAAUUUUCAUUCGAAGAUUGCAAUUUCAACAUUCAGCGUUCUAAGGAAAACACGGCUCGUGUAGUCGUUUGGCUGAUGGGUGUCGAAAACAGCUACACAAUGGAAGCGUCAUUUUGUGGUUCAUCUCUUGGUUCUCGGGCGAAUACUCAUCUCACCAUCAAAGACUUUGAAGAUAUUGGACAAACGUUUUGUGAAACCUUGUUGGACUACUAUAACGAGGAUCCUCGAAAUGAAAAAAUGAAAUUGAAAAUAUGUAGCCGAUUAAUGGAACAGGGCUCAAAUGCGGAACAACCGAAAAAUAUUGAUAUAUCAGAUUACUCGAGUGACGAGAGCUCAACGAGUGUAUGUGAAGAAAUUGUUGACAAGUUGAGUUUUGAAGAAGAUGUCACAUCUUUGACACAACUAUCAAUUAUUGUACCUCCCAGUACACCAGUUGUGCCGAAACGAAAAUCACGAAAAAAAAAAAGAAAAUCAAAAGAUUGUAGUACGAAAAUUAUUACGCCAUAAUAGCUGUUUGGAUGUUGUAAUUACUUGUAAAGCUCUCAAUGUUCUAAUCUUUAACUUUACAGGGUAGCAAUAGUCAUUGUAACCAAUGUAACCAGUACCUAUAAUAUGGAAAAAGUUGAAACUUUCAAACAACAACCUCGGACCUCCACUCCCACAACAACCAAACCCUCCAAAACCGUCACAGCAACAACAGCAGUUAACAAUGCCUCUUUUGACACAUUGUGAAACAACUCCACAUGAACAGAUUUCCAUGUCUUGCCUGAAGAUAGCCGACACAUUGUAUCAUCUGGGUAAAAUGUAUAAUACUACAUAUGCAUUUUUUGUGGCUCCAGUCGGACGCUAGCCACACUUUGACCACGUCCUGCGCAUUGACGCACAACAAGUUCAAGUCAACGUCGACGUGCGUGCGAUACUCCCGGGCCAUCGUGGCCUUCCAGGACGCGAUGCCGUCCUUUUGCUCGAUCGUCGCCUCCUGGACGACUGUAUCGUGUCCAACAAGUGCUUGUACGCCGCUUCCAGCAUCUUUUCCUCGUCCUUGAACAUGGGCUUCCCGCACACGGCCAAUUUACACAUGUAAUGAACCACAUCCGAGGACCGGUUGGCUUCCUUAGCCAUUUUUACAAACCACAACCACUUUUCUUUCGUUUCCACACCUGCGGCAGCGAGCGCUUGUUCAACGUCCAUUUUUUUUCUCGGCGCAUUUUUUCGAAUAUAAGGACUAUAAUAUUAUCUAUUAAGUAGGUUAUAUUUAUCCAUUCAACAAGAAUAGAAUACUGUAAUGAUAUGCUCGAUUCUACAUAUCAUGAUUUUUGUAAAGUCGUUAUUUUCAUUUAAUAAAAUAUAUAACGGUCGAGUUGUCGCACGCAUGUAAUAAAAUCUAAAAUAACCCCAAUAAAUCAAGUCACUGGUGAUUGGAACGAUUCCUAUUAUCUAGUCUCGUACAGGACACUGUACGGGAUUAUAACAUGCAACUUCUUUCAUGUGCCGCCGGAGACGGGGGAUGGUUCGGUCAGGGUCGCUUUCACCAGGGAAAAAGACAAUUUUCUUUGGGGACACCGACACCUUUGAUCGGGCCGCCGAUGACUCUGGCGGACCUGGCCUAAAUCGUCUCCUCUCAUCAGUGCAUGAGCACCCUCCAUAGCGAGAAGUGUACGAGCACAUCCAAAACAUAUAAGUGCACGAGCACCACUAAAACAGACAAGUGCAGGAGCACAGCAGACUUACACACAACCACUCAAAAGACAUUGCCUACGACAACUUUACUGUUUCUUUUUCUAUAACGAAAUUUG